Molecule: small RNA, 288 nt
Filed under: Thalassovita mediterranea
Lineage: Bacteria; Pseudomonadati; Pseudomonadota; Alphaproteobacteria; Rhodobacterales; Roseobacteraceae
Description: Thalassobius mediterraneus 5' ureB small RNA
Rfam family: 5' ureB small RNA
Source: Rfam by way of RNAcentral
AUCCUCGAUCUGUUGCGGGCAGAUGUAAUGGAUGUGGCUGUCAAAGCCGCCAGCGGUCAGUAUUUUGCCCUCACCUGCAAUCACUUCGGUCCCGGGACCGGCGAUGAUGUCGACGCCUGGCUGGGUGUCGGGGUUGCCCGCCUUGCCGAUGGCGUGGAUGCGGCCAUCUUUCAGGCCGACGUCGGCCUUGUAGAUGCCGGUCCAGUCCACAAUCAGCGCAUUGGUGAUCACCGUGUCCACGGCCCCUGCGGCGCGGGUGGUCUGCGCCUGCCCCAUACCGUCGCGGAU